RNA transcript from Grus americana (Whooping crane), 4499 nucleotides. It is a transcript of the gene named RNA polymerase III subunit F, with no coding region annotated. The record is from RefSeq and is a predicted model, not a curated record. The transcript has 10 exons. Lineage: Eukaryota; Metazoa; Chordata; Aves; Gruiformes; Gruidae.
UCUGGCGUCAUGUCUCCGCGCCCCUGGCGCGCCGGGGCCGGGUUGCUGGCGCGGUUGCCGGUGUGGGCCCGCUGCGCCAUGGCGGAGGUGAAAGUGAAGCCGGAGGUCCCCGACCCCAUGGAUAUAGAGAACAGGAUUAUUGAGCUGUGUCAUCAGUUCCCUCAUGGUAUCACAGACCAAGUGAUCCAAAAUGAUAUGCCUCACAUGGAAGCUCAGCAGCGAGCCAUGGCGAUCAACAGGCUGCUCUCCAUGGGGCAACUGGACCUUCUCAGGAGCAAUGCGGGUCUCCUCUAUAGAAUCAAAGAGUCUCAAAAUGCAAGUAAAAUGAAAGGCUCUGACAAUCAAGAGAAGCUGGUUUACCAAAUUAUAGAAGAUGCAGGCAACAAAGGUAUUUGGAGCAGGGACAUUAGGUACAAAAGUAAUUUGCCUUUAACGGAGAUCAACAAGAUACUGAAAAACUUGGAAAGCAAGAAACUAAUUAAAGCAGUUAAAUCUGUGGCAGCAUCCAAGAAGAAGGUGUAUAUGCUAUAUAACCUGCAGCCUGACCGCUCGGUGACUGGUGGGGCUUGGUACAGUGACCAAGACUUUGAGUCUGAAUUUGUGGAGGUGUUAAAUCAACAGUGUUUUAAAUUUCUACAGAGUAAGGCAGAAGCAGCUCGAGAGAGCAAACAGAACCCCAUGAUACAGAGGAACAGCUCAUUUGCCUCAUCCCAUGAGGUGUGGAAAUACAUCUGUGAACUGGGUAUCAGUAAGGUAGAGUUGUCAAUGGAAGACAUUGAAACCAUUUUAAAUACGCUAAUAUAUGAUGGAAAAGUGGAGAUGACUAUUAUCGCCGCAAAGGAAGGGACGGUAGGCAGUGUGGAUGGACAGAUGAAGUUGUACAGAGCCGUUAGUCCUCUCAUACAACCCACUGGAUUAGUCAGGACGCCCUGUGGACUCUGCCCCGUUUUUGAUGAUUGCCAUGAAGGUGGUGAGAUUUCUCCAUCAAACUGUAUUUAUAUGACAGAGUGGCUGGAGUUUUAAGUGAAAGAAAACUGUAAAGUGGAUUCAUGCUUCACAGCCAAGGUGAUGAAGCAGCUUGCUUUUUUAAAAGUGGACUUCUAAAUUUGUGAGCAACUUCAGGACAUAGUGACUGUUUUUAAUGAAAUACAAAGCAGCAGUGGACUGGAAGUUGUCAGCACUGAAGAUCAAGGCUGAAGUGGAAAUGUAUAUCCGUUCCUUGUACCAAAAAUUGGUUGUGUGACUUAAAGUGCCAUAGAACAGCUGGGUGGUGAUGCAUCACUUCCAAGGGUUGCGUCAGCUACAUGAUCAUCAUCAAAUCUAUGUUGGUGUGUUCUGGCAGCUGCAUCAUGUACAUGGAUGAAAUUUUGGGAAGAUGUGUUUUCCAGAAGAGAAGAAGAGUUCCUCUGGCCUGAUGGUACAGGGAAAAUUUUUAUAAGUUAUAUGAAUACCCUCAGGGUUGAAAAAGAUGACAAUGACGGUUGUUUAUACAUAAAUGUGGCCUCUGGCCUUGGUUUGUGAUCUGAGAAAGUCAUGAUACCAGCAUACUAUGAAAAAGCACAGUCUUUCUGUGGCAUGGAGCCAAUUUGUGUUUCUCUUGUGUGACCUCUCUGGCUUCUCCUGUGUGUGCCUCUCUACUGAUGAAUGGGCAAUAACAUAGAGACUGUGGUGUUGCCAUUAGCAUCGUGCCCAGGGUAUGCUGGGCCAUGGACCUCUGUGUCUGGUUUCCUCGGGCUAUCGAUGUCCAUCUGGCAGUAUUAGAGGGGUGGUAUUGUCUUUGGAAAAUGUAGGUUCAAAUCCUACUUGUGAUGUAAGCAGAUUUUUGUACCAACUAUGUUAUGCUAAUUUGUUACUCCACCUCUUCCUUUACCUAUAAUCAAGCAACCUCUAGGGAAAAAAAAAUCAGCUCCUUUUUCAUAAAUGAGAAUAUCGUGCAUAUAUGGUACAGCCAGCUCUCCACCAUCCAGAAUAAGAGAGCUGAGAUGAAGUACUAGCAGCCAGGGUAGUAUAGACACAUGAACUGUGCAGAGACAGUCUGGUCCCAGUGCAAAUUGCUACCUGUGGCUAAAUCUUGCUGUGCCCAGGCUGGAUCUGUCUACAACUACUCAGUAUCUUCAUGAUAGCCUCCCAGUACUGGGAAACAAUUAGUGGGUCAAGCACAACACCGGACCUGUUGCAUCUAGCUAUUUUAAAAAUUCCCUCUCUGAAAAUAAGCCUUCCUGGAUGCCGUGUUGGGAGGGCAAUGGUCAAACACCUCUACAACUGAGUUACCAGCAUGCCAGGUCAUCUGACCAUAAGUAGUAAAGACUGGGCUAACAUAGAUUUUUGGAAGACAGCUUACCUAGCAAGGGUAGGAGACUUUACAUCAGCUAUUUCAAUAGUGUCCAGGAAUUUGCCCUUUCUAAAACCAGUCUGGGUCCCAUAUAAGUGUUCAAAUCUUGCUUGAUUCUCCAUUUUCCUACUUAGAGCGUGGGUUGUGGACAGAAGGCUAACGGUGCUAAGUGCUGUGCAAAGAAUUAAAGAAAAAAAAAAAAGGUUUCUGUCCCAUCCAGGGAUGGUAUAGAUACAGAGGCAAAGGCUGGGAGCAGCUAGGCAUGCUGUCUCCAACUGCCUGAUAAGCUGGCAUGUCCAUGGAAGGAGUCUGAUUGUAUUAGCUGCUGUGAGCACUCACAGCCGGGUCUUUGUUGCAGUGUUGUCUCCAGGUGACAGGGAUAUGUAUCUUUACAGAAGCAGGACAGCUCUUACAAAAGAGAUGGGGUGAAAUGAUGCGAUGUUUGUUCUUUCUUUGCCCCCUAUAACCACUUGGCACACUGAAGGUUGAGGAAAAUGCUGCUCACUUCACUGGAGGGAGUCUUAACCUCAGCUUCAGACAUCUGUUAUGUGGCCAAAGGUAAUUUCAUUGAGGUGCGGGGCUUUGUCUUCCUGUGUUCAAAGAGGGCCUAACACAAUGGGGGCCUGAAUCCUGCUGCUGCAGAGAUAACACCUUGUUUGUGCCCUGCUGCAGCUAGAAGAUAGCUUUCAGGGAAACAAUACAUCUUUAUCAUGCAGGCAUGGCACUUUAUGCAGUAUAACCAUAUUUAUUGACAAUGAGAAAAAGGAGAGAGAGCUUGUCAUCAGUGAACAGCUUUAGGAAGUAGAGAGCCAGUUUAUUAAGAUUUUUAAACCCAAUACAAAUGGCCCAGAAUUUAUCUGGUUUAGAUGACCUUUGUGGAAGCGGUAACAAGACUUCUCAAAUUUGGGAAAAAAACCCAUGCCUAUAGAGAAAAGUAAAACAAUUUCACUUUCCUAUCUGUAAAAUAGGAAUCUGUCUGAUCUAUUUCUAAAUGAAUUAGAGGAACCAUCUUUCCGUCACUCUGGUUCUUCAUUAACUUGGCUAAUCUAUCAGCCUGUAAUUCUUUUUAAAAAAAGAGAGUAAAUGCUAAAAGGUAACAUUAAUGGUCUGGUCUUUUUUUGACUCCUUAAGUUUCUUCAGUCUUCUCAUCUACCUGGCAAAGCUGUCCCUUUUACAAACUGGUAUGAAAUGUAAUGUUUUGAGGAAGCUACAAUACUAGCUCUGAUACUGAAUGUGAAAAUGUUUGUAUAGAAAGCUGAGAGUUAAAGUUAACCCUCACAACAUGGAUGAUCACGUGGAAGAACGACCUGCUAAUUUUUUUAUGCAAGCCUCAUACAAGAGGUCACAGUUCAGCUGAUGCAGGACCAGGAGGUACCUCCUGGGUCGGAGAGCUCAUCCCUGUUUUCAUGAGCCCUGGGCUGAGCAGACCUUGACCGGGCUGUUCUGAGCAGUUUCCUCACUACCGGUAACGGACUGUACAGAAGCAAGUUGGAGGGUGGUCACACCCAAAUGCCAUUUUCACAUGGAAUCAAGUGCAAGAUUGCUUUUUAUUUCCAAGAGAAACAUUAACUACAGUACCAGGCUGUAUUGUGAACUGAGGGAGAGAGUACAGCUCACAGGUACUGUUUAACAUGUCGAGCCUUUACAGUCCAAAGUUUAAAACAUUAACAUUAAUGGCAAACUUGAAGCUUUGAUAAUGAAAACACUUACCCCGUGGCUGAGUGGCUGUUUGUUUUUUUCUGGUUUUGUGUUGUGUGGUUUGGUUUUUUUUUUCAUUUAUUUACUCUGAUGAUAAACUCUUGCGCCUGUUGGAGGUGUUAAGCGUGAUGGUUGUUCAUUUGGUGCUGUUCGAGCGCCACCUUCUGUCUCGUCCUGGUGUGGCUUCCCUAGGGCUCAAGAAAGGAAAGAGAAAACUCUUAAACCCUGCUCUGGUUUCCUGUUCUGCCACCUCGUGCAGGGCAGUUUUUGGGAAGAAACAACAGCGAGUGGGGACAGCUGCCAAACACUUCAUGCUUUGAAAGAGAGUAUAGACACCUUAACAGAGUUGUCCACCACACACAGACCACCUUCCCCUCUUGCUUCAUGUGUCUAGGACCAUCGCUUCAUCUGUGAGAAACGGGUCACCAGGCCCUCGGCCAUGCUGGCGGUUUAGCCUGGAGGGACAAAA